Non-coding RNA from Bemisia tabaci, 89 nucleotides. Lineage: Eukaryota; Metazoa; Arthropoda; Insecta; Hemiptera; Aleyrodidae. The record is from RefSeq and is a predicted model, not a curated record.
UUAUCCCUUACUUAGGCGCGGGGAAUUUUCUAGAUGAAGGUUCACAUCGAAUUUUAUUUGUAGUAUUCCAGCAACCUUAUAGACGAAAA